RNAcentral lists this ribosomal RNA (468 nucleotides) under uncultured bacterium. RNAcentral's name for it is "partial 16S ribosomal RNA". It matches the Rfam family "Bacterial small subunit ribosomal RNA", at positions 28 to 507 of the family's 1533-position model. The record is from RNAcentral.
GACGAACGCUGGCGGCGUGCUUAACACAUGCAAGUCGAACGGGAAGUCGCGGCUGUUGCGUGGUGCUCGAGUGGCGAACGUGUGUGUAACGUGUGAGUAACGUGCGCUGGACUUUGGUAUAAGUUCAGGAAACUUGGUCUUAUAGCGGAUAGUAACUCAUGCGCCUUGGUGGGUGAUGGAAGGUUUCGGCGGUUGGGGAUGGACUCGCGUCUUAUCAGCUUGUUGGUGGGGUAGUGGCUUACCACGGCGUUGACUGGUAGACGGCCUGAGAGGGUGAGCGGCCACAUUGGGACUGAGAUACGGCGCCGACUCUUCCGGGAGGCAGAAGUGGGGAAUAUUGUACAAUGGGCGGAAGACCGAUGCAGAAACGCUGCGUGCGCGAUGACGGCCUUCGCGUUGUAAACAGCUUUUGCAGGUGACGAAGAGGGAGUGACGGUACUGGCUAAAGAAGCACCGGCUAACUACGUG